AGGAUGAACGCUGGCGGCGUGCCUAAUACAUGCAAGUCGAACGAGGUGCUUGAGUAGCAAUACAAGAGUAUCCUAGUGGCGAACGGGUGAGUAACACGUUGGUGACCUACCCCAAAGUGUGGGAUAACAGUCCGAAAGGAUUGCUAAUACCGCAUGUGAUCAUCGGAUUUAGAAACUGAUGAUUAAAGGAGCAAUUCGCUUUGGGAGGGACCUGCGUCCCAUCAGCUAGUUGGUGAGGUAAUGGCUCACCAAGGCGACGAC
Molecule: ribosomal RNA, 261 nt
Filed under: uncultured soil bacterium
Lineage: Bacteria
Description: partial 16S ribosomal RNA
Rfam family: Bacterial small subunit ribosomal RNA
Source: RNAcentral